GGUAGUUUAAUUAAAAUGCCAGCUUUGGGAGCUGUGGAUGGAGGUUAAAGUCCUCUUCUUCUGACUGU
This 68-nucleotide transfer RNA is filed under the name Rhinopomastus cyanomelas (common scimitar-bill). RNAcentral's name for it is "tRNA-Pro". It matches the Rfam family "tRNA". Rfam says of the family: Transfer RNA (tRNA) molecules are approximately 80 nucleotides in length. Their secondary structure includes four short double-helical elements and three loops (D, anti-codon, and T loops). Further hydrogen bonds mediate the characteristic L-shaped molecular structure. tRNAs have two regions of fundamental functional importance: the anti-codon, which is responsible for specific mRNA codon recognition, and the 3' end, to which the tRNAs corresponding amino acid is attached (by aminoacyl-tRNA synthetases). tRNAs cope with the degeneracy of the genetic code in two manners: having more than one tRNA (with a specific anti-codon) for a particular amino acid; and 'wobble' base-pairing, i.e. permitting non-standard base-pairing at the 3rd anti-codon position. The record is from RNAcentral. Lineage: Eukaryota; Metazoa; Chordata; Aves; Bucerotiformes; Rhinopomastidae.